GCUCAGGCUUACACAUGCAAGUCGAGGGGCAGCAUGGUCUUAGCUUGCUAAGGCCGAUGGCGACCGGCGCACGGGUGAGUAACACGUAUCCAACCUGCCGUCUACUCUUGGACAGCCUUCUGAAAGGAAGAUUAAUACAAGAUGGCAUCAUGAGUCCGCAUGUUCACAUGAUUAAAGGUAUUCCGGUAGACGAUGGGGAUGCGUUCCAUUAGAUAGUAGGCGGGGUAACGGCCCACCUAGUCUUCGAUGGAUAGGGGUUCUGAGAGGAAGGUCCCCCACAUUGGAACUGAGACACGGUCCAAACUCCUACGGGAGGCAGCAGUGAGGAAUAUUGGUCAAUGGGCGAGAGCCUGAACCAGCCAAGUAGCGUGAAGGAUGACUGCCCUAUGGGUUGUAAACUUCUUUUAUAAAGGAAUAAAGUCGGGUAUGGAUACCCGUUUGCAUGUACUUUAUGAAUAAGGAUCGGCUAACUCCGUGCCAGCAGCCGCGGUAAUACGGAGGAUCCGAGCGUUAUCCGGAUUUAUUGGGUUUAAAGGGAGCGUAGAUGGAUGUUUAAGUCAGUUGUGAAAGUUUGCGGCUCAACCGUAAAAUUGCAGUUGAUACUGGAUAUCUUGAGUGCAGUUGAGGCAGGCGGAAUUCGUGGUGUAGCGGUGAAAUGCUUAGAUAUCACGAAGAACUCCGAUUGCGAAGGCAGCCU
Molecule: ribosomal RNA, 697 nt
Filed under: Bacteroides sp. ES-40
Lineage: Bacteria; Pseudomonadati; Bacteroidota; Bacteroidia; Bacteroidales; Bacteroidaceae
Description: bacterial SSU rRNA
Rfam family: Bacterial small subunit ribosomal RNA
Source: RNAcentral